CCACAGGGUUGACUCUUUUUCCCAACCUGGGUCAUGAACAGAGUGUUUGUGAAGUUCUUGUUCAGAAUCCUGAUUACAGAUGAAAACCAACAUGGACCAGCUUAAGAAAAGAUGCUCCUUGGAAUAAAUGGGUGCUCCUGUGGACUGGCAGAGCUGACUGGGUCAGGGGGCACGUCCUACACAAGUCCAAACCAGGACUAAGAAACAGGUCACUGAUCCCAUGACUCUGCCCUCACCCCUUUCACCCAAACUAUUUAAAGAGGAGCAUAAAAAAGGAAGACUUUAGGCAAAACCAAGACAAACAGAAACACAAUGUAAUUCAAGAACACAUUCCAAAUACCUGCUCUUUAAACCUUUCCUUUUACACCUUAAGUUAAUUCCACUUUACUCCAGGUAUGUGUGAAGUAGUUCUCAUUAUGUUUUAGACAUCUGGAGUUUCCUAAAACUCCCUGUUCAUCUUCUCUUCUGAGCAACUUGUAUUUACCACCUUUUCUUUCAACCUGUUAGGUAUUUCCCUGCCUACUUGAGUUCAUAACCAAUUUUGUGUUUUCUCAUUUAAAUUUCAGUUUAAUGUGAUAACACAGUAUGUUACUCUGGUCUCACUUGAAAAGUUAAAUUGCUACAUGUUUGUUUUGUGGCUGUUCUGUCACAGCACAGCUUUCUGCUCUGGGGGAGAAGGGAAUAGGUUCUGACAGGUCCCACUCUCAACUAACUUAUCAUCUGAUCAAAUAAAAU
This 735-nucleotide long non-coding RNA is filed under the name Marmota monax (woodchuck). The record is from RNAcentral. Lineage: Eukaryota; Metazoa; Chordata; Mammalia; Rodentia; Sciuridae.